AGGCUACGCGUGGAAAACGUGUUUACAUUCACCAGUCGUUGUGUUCCAAAAUUACUUAAAUGCGGAGGGAAUAGUUAUCCAAUUUCUUUCAUUCACGAGCAGGGAUGUGUUGCUUUGUUGACGCUACAGGGAAGUUUCCUGGUUUAAAGAAAUGUGUGGCUAUAGGCAACAGCUACUUCAACAUGCUUUGCAUGAAAUCGUGCGUGUGUAACUUAGUUCUAGUGUGAGUGUGUGAUAUUGUACUCUGUGCAGUAUUUACGAAGGGACUGGUUGGUUUAUAUUUUUGUUUAUGUAAAUGAAAAAUGUAAAGUUGUGUGUAGUAGUGAGACAAAAGCCUUUCAUACAUUUAUUUAAGGUUGUCUGUUGUCUGUUUGAAGGUGUGUCUGCAAAGCUCUGAAACGUUUUGUCUUUUUUUAUCUCUUCUGCUCUGGAUAAGGUGGACUUCUCUCCUCUGACCGGUUACCAAGACAGCUGGGUGUGUAGGAAACUGGAACUAAGUCACUGAAGAAGUAAACCGAUGAAAACCGAUUUGGAUUGUCUGAGAGAUGUAACUGUAGGGCACAAGUAAGAGGAGAAGAAUGCUGCUCAGCUGGGUCGGCGUCGGCCACACUACUUAUUCAAGAAGCCCUUGGAUAUCAUCGGCAUGUAUGAAGCACAGUCAUUCCGGUAGUCCGUUCCUCGAUGGACGUGAUGACCUGGCACCAAAACCGCUUAAUGUGUACGGAGCUGUGUCUGCAUCGAGGGAAGAACGCGGCACUGAAAUGACACAAAUGAAAGAAGAUUACUUCUGCUCUGCUGGGUCUGUGACACUAUUUAUCCGAGGAGUCCUCAAACAUCAGGAUGUAGGAAGACACAAGUAAAAGGAGAAGAAUGCUGCUCAGCUGGGUCGGCGGCC
Engraulis encrasicolus (European anchovy) is the source of this 895-nucleotide long non-coding RNA. RefSeq lists it as uncharacterized. The transcript is spliced from 5 exons. The record is from RefSeq and is a predicted model, not a curated record. NCBI's taxonomy places the organism in Eukaryota, Metazoa, Chordata, Actinopteri, Clupeiformes, Engraulidae.